CAGCCGCCGCGGUAAUACGUAGGUGGCAAGCGUUGUCCGGAAUUAUUGGGCGUAAAGGGCUCGCAGGCGGUUUCUUAAGUCUGAUGUGAAAGCCCCCGGCUCAACCGGGGAGGGUCAUAGGAAACUGGGAAACUUGAGUGCAGAAGAGGAGAGUGGAAUUCCACGUGUAGCGGUGAAAUGCGUAGAGAUGUGGAGGAACACCAGUGGCGAAGGCGACUCUCUGGUCUGUAACUGACGCUGAGGAGCGAAAGCGUGGGGAGCGAACAGGAUUAGAUACCCGCGUAGUCCCUGUCUCUUAUAC
This 301-nucleotide ribosomal RNA is filed under the name uncultured bacterium. RNAcentral describes it as "partial 16S ribosomal RNA". It matches the Rfam family "Bacterial small subunit ribosomal RNA", at positions 509 to 807 of the family's 1533-position model. The record is from RNAcentral.